RNAcentral lists this ribosomal RNA (1462 nucleotides) under uncultured organism. RNAcentral's name for it is "SSU rRNA". It matches the Rfam family "Bacterial small subunit ribosomal RNA". The record is from RNAcentral.
UUGAUCGCUGGCGGCAGGCCUAACACAUGCAAGUCGAGCGGUAGCACAGAGAGCUUGCUCUCGGGUGACGAGCGGCGGACGGGUGAGUAAUGUCUGGGAAACUGCCUGAUGGAGGGGGAUAACUACUGGAAACGGUAGCUAAUACCGCAUAAUGUCGCAAGACCAAAGUGGGGGACCUUCGGGCCUCAUGCCAUCAGAUGUGCCCAGAUGGGAUUAGCUAGUAGGUGGGGUAACGGCCCACCUAGGCGACGAUCCCUAGCUGGUCUGAGAGGAUGACCAGCCACACUGGAACUGAGACACGGUCCAGACUCCUACGGGAGGCAGCAGUGGGGAAUAUUGCACAAUGGGCGCAAGCCUGAUGCAGCCAUGCCGCGUGUGUGAAGAAGGCCUUCGGGUUGUAAAGCACUUUCAGCGGGGAGGAAGGCGAUAAGGUUAAUAACCUUGUCGAUUGACGUUACCCGCAGAAGAAGCACCGGCUAACUCCGUGCCAGCAGCCGCGGUAAUACGGAGGGUGCAAGCGUUAAUCGGAAUUACUGGGCGUAAAGCGCACGCAGGCGGUCUGUCAAGUCGGAUGUGAAAUCCCCGGGCUCAACCUGGGAACUGCAUUCGAAACUGGCAGGCUAGAGUCUUGUAUAGGGGGGUAGAAUUCCAGGUGUAGCGGCGAAAUGCGUAGAGAUCUGGAGGAAUACCGGUGGCGAAGGCGGCCCCCUGGACAAAGACUGACGCUCAGGUGCGAAAGCGUGGGGAGCAAACAGGAUUAGAUACCCUGGUAGUCCACGCUGUAAACGAUGUCGACUUGGAGGUUGUGCCCUUGAGGCGUGGCUUCCGGAGCUAACGCGUUAAGUCGACCGCCUGGGGAGUACGGCCGCAAGGUUAAAACUCAAAUGAAUUGACGGGGGCCCGCACAAGCGGUGGAGCAUGUGGUUUAAUUCGAUGCAACGCGAAGAACCUUACCUACUCUUGACAUCCAGAGAAUUUGCUAGAGAUAGCUUAGUGCCUUCGGGAACUCUGAGACAGGUGCUGCAUGGCUGUCGUCAGCUCGUGUUGUGAAAUGUUGGGUUAAGUCCCGCAACGAGCGCAACCCUUAUCCUUUGUUGCCAGCGAGUAAUGUCGGGAACUCAAAGGAGACUGCCGGUGAUAAACCGGAGGAAGGUGGGGAUGACGUCAAGUCAUCAUGGCCCUUACGAGUAGGGCUACACACGUGCUACAAUGGCAUAUACAAAGAGAAGCGAACUCGCGAGAGCAAGCGGACCUCAUAAAGUAUGUCGUAGUCCGGAUUGGAGUCUGCAACUCGACUCCAUGAAGUCGGAAUCGCUAGUAAUCGUAGAUCAGAAUGCUACGGUGAAUACGUUCCCGGGCCUUGUACACACCGCCCGUCACACCAUGGGAGUGGGUUGCAAAAGAAGUAGGUAGCUUAACCUUCGGGAGGGCGCUUACCACUUUGUGAUUCAUGACUGGGGUG